Molecule: long non-coding RNA, 210 nt
Organism: Dicentrarchus labrax (European seabass)
Lineage: Eukaryota; Metazoa; Chordata; Actinopteri; Moronidae
Exons: 3
Source: RefSeq, a predicted model, not a curated record
AUGGAAUUGUUAUUUGGGAUCAAUAGGAGACAUAAGAAGAUGGCCAGAACCUUUGCAUAUAAGAGAGACAACAUCAAAGGCAAUCCCACGAUCACAGAAUGAAACUGUUGAAGACCCGAAUGUCCUUUUCAAAGAACACCUGAUGCUACGUCUGUUUAGAGGGACCUUCAACAAGUUAUCCUUGGUACCUACAGCAUCAUAUGGGGGAGG